AGCUGGUCGGAAACGAAGGAAGGGCUUCCCACGAUCGGGGCCGUCCGACCGCGAGCUUCCGUUCCGCCAGACGCAAUUGUCUCUCGCCCGAAGGACGCCGCAGCCGGUCGGGCAGUGCAAACGCGACGGCCUGAGGGGYGGACGACGGCAGGUGGCCGGUGGCGUGCCUCGUGCGCGUCGCCGGUUGUUAGCCAGUCCGCCAGUGGCUCGUCGCUCGACCGAGGUGUCACGAGGCCCUUCGGGGCUCUCUCGUCUCCUCCCCACGGAAGUCGGGACAUACCGUCGCAAGCGAAGGACGCCGUCCCGUCGCACUCAGUCCGAGUGGACGGACGAACGCUCGGCGCCGUUGGCGACGGCGGGCCCGUCGGAGGCUGGAGGCUGGCGGCGAGUAGGUCGGUCACCCACCCGACCCGUCUUGAAACACGGACCAAGGAGUCUAACAUGUGCGCAAGUCAAUGGGUCUUGAACAGGCCCAGAGGCGCAAUGAAAGCAAAGGUCGUGCGCACGCCGACCGAGUUGGGAUCCCCCUCUAUAAGAAGGGGGCGCACCAACGACCCGCCCUAUCCGGCUCGCCGGUUGGGCGGAGUGUGAGCGUACACGUUGGGACCCGAAAGAUGGUGAACUAUGCCCGGACAGGACGAGGCCAGAG
RNAcentral lists this ribosomal RNA (649 nucleotides) under Zorodictyna sp. DP-2014d. RNAcentral's name for it is "eukaryotic LSU rRNA". The stretch from base 427 to 649 matches the Rfam family "Eukaryotic large subunit ribosomal RNA", at positions 665 to 857 of the family's 3401-position model. Lineage: Eukaryota; Metazoa; Arthropoda; Arachnida; Araneae; Udubidae. The record is from RNAcentral.